UACGGGGGGGGCAAGCGUUGUUCGGAAUUACUGGGCGUAAAGGGCUCGUAGGUGGCCAACUAAGUCAGACGUGAAAUCCCUCGGCUUAACCGGGGAACUGCGUCUGAUACUGGAUGGCUUGAGUUCGGGAGAGGGAUGCGGAAUUCCAGGUGUAGCGGUGAAAUGCGCAGAUAUCAGGAGGAACACCGGUGGCGAAGGCGGCCUUCUGGGCCUGUUCUGACGCUGAGGAGCGAAAGCGUGGGGAGCGAACAGG
RNAcentral lists this ribosomal RNA (253 nucleotides) under uncultured bacterium. RNAcentral's name for it is "partial 16S ribosomal RNA". It matches the Rfam family "Bacterial small subunit ribosomal RNA", at positions 524 to 776 of the family's 1533-position model. The record is from RNAcentral.